CUUAUACUCCCUCCGUUAGGAAAUACUUGUCAUUGAAAUGGAUGUAUCUAGAUGUAUUUUAGUUCUACAUACAUCCAUUUUGAUGACAAGUAAUUCUAAAUGGAGGGAAUAUUUA
Molecule: non-coding RNA, 115 nt
Organism: Triticum aestivum (bread wheat)
Lineage: Eukaryota; Viridiplantae; Streptophyta; Magnoliopsida; Poales; Poaceae
Source: Rfam